This 450-nucleotide ribosomal RNA is filed under the name uncultured bacterium. RNAcentral describes it as "partial 16S ribosomal RNA". It matches the Rfam family "Bacterial small subunit ribosomal RNA", at positions 338 to 795 of the family's 1533-position model. The record is from RNAcentral.
CCUACGGGAGGCUGCAGUGAGGAAUAUUGGUCAAUGGACGAAAGUCUGAACCAGCCAUGCCGCGUGCAGGAUGAAUGCCCUAUGGGUUGUAAACUGCUUUUAUAUAGGAAUAAACCCCUUUACGUGUAAAGGGCUGAAGGUACUAUAAGAAUAAGGCCCGGCUAACUCCGUGCCAGCAGCCGCGGUAAUACGGAGGGUCCAAGCGUUAUCCGGAUUUAUGGGGUUUAAAGGGUCAAAAUAAGGAAGACGUGAAAGCCUAUCGCUUAACGAUAGAACUGCCAUUGAUACUGUUGUUCUUGAGUAUACUUGAGGUGGGCGGAAUGUGUCAUGUAGCGGUGAAAUGCAUAGAUAUGACACAGAACACCGAUUGCGAAGGCAGCUCACUAAAUUAUAACUGACGCUCGUGGACGAAAGCGUGGGGAGCAAACAGGAUUAGAUACCCGUGUAGUC